UUAUAGACAAAGAUGAAAAAGAGUAACCUAACAACCAACUUUCAGGGAGAAUAAUCAUAGACUGUAAGUUAUUCAGUUGAGUUUAGGUGAAGUUCACUUUCAGAGUUGACCGUUGAGUCCGGUAUUGCCCGUUACGCAAACUUGAGUGUAUGACUAGGUCAUAAACUAGGGUGGUACCGCGAAGCUUCGUCCCUUUU
The sequence is a regulatory RNA element, 197 nucleotides long. It matches the Rfam family "T-box leader". From Rfam's summary of the family: Uncharged tRNA acts as the effector for transcription antitermination of genes in the T-box leader family. T-boxes are found upstream of many aminoacyl-tRNA synthetase genes and some amino acid biosynthetic genes usually in Gram-positive bacteria. The anticodon of a specific tRNA base pairs to a specifier sequence within the T-box motif, and the NCCA acceptor tail of the tRNA base pairs to a conserved bulge in the T-box antiterminator hairpin. The record is from Rfam.